CAAUUCUGCCUUCAAUCCUCCGUGGGUCGGCGGGUCGCGGUCGGCUGGAGCAAGAAAUGGCACACAAUCUCAAAGACAAGAAGCUUCUAGAAAAUGCAAGACCAGUUGUGUUGGCGGAUCCUUGCGUUAGUAUGUACAGUGCUUGAGAGUUAUCAGAAGUCAAGAGAAUUUACGGGAGUUCAUCAGCCUCAUGUCCAUCCAGAGGCCGUGCCAUGCAGCAUGUGGAAUAGUUACCCAACCAGG
Balaenoptera musculus (blue whale) is the source of this 243-nucleotide long non-coding RNA. RefSeq lists it as uncharacterized. The record is from RefSeq and is a predicted model, not a curated record. Lineage: Eukaryota; Metazoa; Chordata; Mammalia; Artiodactyla; Balaenopteridae. The transcript has 4 exons.